GAUGAACGCUGGCGGCGUGCCUAAUACAUGCAAGUCGAGCGAACAGACGAGGAGCUUGCUCCUCUGACGUUAGCGGCGGACGGGUGAGUAACACGUGGAUAACCUACCUAUAAGACUGGGAUAACUUCGGGAAACCGGAGCUAAUACCGGAUAAUAUAUUGAACCGCAUUGUUCAAUAGUGAAAGACGGUUUUGCUGUCACUUAUAGAUGGAUCCGCGCCGCAUUAGCUAGUUGGUAAGGUAACGGCUUACCAAGGCAACGAUGCGUAGCCGACCUGAGAGGGUGAUCGGCCACACUGGAACUGAGACACGGUCCAGACUCCUACGGGAGGCAGCAGUAGGGAAUCUGCCGCAAUGGGCGAAAGCCUGACGGAGCAACGCCGCGUGAGUGAUGAAGGUCUUCGGAUCGUAAAACUCUGUUAUUAGGGAAGAACAAAUGUGUAAGUAACUAUGCACGUCUUGACGGUACCUAAUCAGAAAGCCACGGCUAACUACGUG
This 497-nucleotide ribosomal RNA is filed under the name uncultured bacterium. Its description in RNAcentral is "partial 16S ribosomal RNA". It matches the Rfam family "Bacterial small subunit ribosomal RNA", at positions 28 to 507 of the family's 1533-position model. The record is from RNAcentral.